This 382-nucleotide long non-coding RNA is filed under the name Mus pahari (shrew mouse). RNAcentral describes it as "predicted gene 27153 (MGP_PahariEiJ_G0002750.1)". The record is from RNAcentral. Lineage: Eukaryota; Metazoa; Chordata; Mammalia; Rodentia; Muridae.
CAAGAUUCAACUGCUCUGCUACUAAUUGGUCUCAAUUAGUGGGAUCUACAGUACCUCUUGCCAAGCCACAGGAACACACCGCACCUUAAGAAUCAAACAUGAGCGUACCAAAGAACUUCCGGUGGUGUGCUGGUCACUUCUUGCCAGAUUCCUCCUGCUGCUUUCCUCCCUGGCCGACCCGUGGAGCCUCAGUUUCUUCUGGAUCAAGGCACGGCUGUUGAUUUGUGUUUGGUGUUUUGCUAGUGGACUGGACUGCUGACAAGAAGGCUGAAGACUACUUCUACAGGCCCAUGCCCUCCCUGUCCUAUCAGACAUUUUCCUCCUCUACCUUUGGUUGGUUGAAGCAUGUAAGAACAAUCAUUAAGGUAAGUUUUGAAAAAAA